AGUAGUGCGCGUCAGCGCGUCACUGCAACAAGUAGUUACAGGCUCGUUAGUGUAAGUACGUUGGAGUACGUAACAUAUGGCUGACCAGCGUCUGUCAGAAUUAUUACGAUUUCCCUGGCAAAUACGAAGAAACGUGGCUUCACGUAAUGCGAAUAAACCCAAGCGGAAUGCUGUAGUCCAACAUCUCGACAGUUUCAGCUCCAAAUCGAUACAAGAAGAAUGAGAAAGCGAGACGUGCGAAAAAACUUGUAUAAACUGUAUGCAUCUUUAAAUGGCGAAUUUAAUUAAGAACUUGGAAAAUCGAACGAUACAAGUCGAGAAGUAUGAACAGAGGAUUCGUAUCUGGACAAGCACGUAGUUAAAAAUGGUUUGUAUAUACUAUGUACACGUGUUGUUGGAACUUAAUGAGAAAGCUGCGCAACUUCGUACCACCCUUUACCAGAACGCCAUUACAAAAAUUGCUGCAAUUAGAUUCUCUUAGAGACUGGAUUUUUUCCCUGGAAGCGAAGAUUUUCUUCAUUAAUUUUUAUUUGAUUCUAGAAUAUUACAUUGUCUGGACCCGCUGCUGCCGUUAGCAGUUGUAUCUUCCGGCUGUGUAUGUGCCUUUAUAAUUUCAGAGAAAUAUAAUUCCUAUAUGUAGCAACCAAUUUAAAUCGGAGGAAUGCCGCUACAACAGUUACAUUUUACAUGGAAAACCUUGAUUUCGGCAUUCGCGUUAUUUUUAUCAGCAUUCUUCGAGAAAAUUUAAUUAAUCGCCAAAAUCUUCCAAUCUCUUGCGUAAUCCUGUAUAUGUCAUUCUUGUUUCGCGGGCGAAUGCACGACAGAUGCGAGCUGUAAUCCAAUAUAUCGCGCAAUUUUAGAUUCGCAAUAAUGUGGUCGAAGAUAGUUCAGGAUGAAGCAUUAAAGUACAUUGAAAGACUGAAAAUUGAACGCUAUAAACGGAGGAACGGGAAUAGAGAAAUUGUAGAUUUCGCGUGUGACUCUGACUCUUGCCGAGUAAUCUGGGUUGUUCGUGAGAGUGUGUGAUAUCAACUUUGUAUUGUGAAUUGAUGGUGAAAUACGAUAUCAGUCACGUAAAGUUGGAACAACCAAAACCUCGAAAUCGAGUUGCAGCGCAAACUUACAUGAGUUAGCAUUUCGAUUUCUUGUUCGAUAACUCAUUGUAUCGUUGCAUAAAUAUUUUUCACGCGUUAAAUAUUCUUUUUCGUAGAUAAUGUAGAAGUUUCUUUAAUAAAAGAGCUAAGAUGAUAAUCGCUACGUUCACGUAAUUAGCAUAAUUUUGUUGUUCGAUAAAAUGUUAUACCUGAAAAGGUGACUGCUAAAAAAAAAGACAUUUUUCUUCGUACUACCGAUUAUUUCAAGUUAUUAUGCGUAGAAUUUUUAGUUUAUAAACGCGUAAAAACAAAUAUCAAAAAGAAAAGAAAAAAAACAGAAACAAAACUUAUAGAUAAACCAAUGAUCUUCAGCAUCGACAAUUCAGAAAUUGGGAAAUCGUAGAAUCAACAUCGGAGAAGUUGUUUUCAUUCUAAAUCGUUUUUAGAAGAGUUUGCAGCCGGUUUGUAAACUCUUUUUCCGUAAAAAAAGAAAGUUAAAUGGACGUGAGAGUGAGUAACUAUCCUAACGAAUAGAAUGUGUUUUCUCCGCAUUUACUUCUCUAUCUUCCCCAUUGUGAGAGAAACAAACUUUCUUAGUUACCUGAUAAUUGGUUAGAAGUAUAACGCAUACAUGUAUACACAUGAAACUACUGAACUUUCGUACAUGUUAUGCACGCUGGAUAAUGUGGUUGCACACUACUACGCAUAUAAGCUUGUUUUACAAUAGGAUUACAGCUCAAACACUAUAUGUACAUAUAUAUCUGUAGCUGCAUAGAAAUACUUAAGAAUUAAUGCAAUUGUUAUGUUUUUACAAACUGUAUAACGUCUGCUUAAAGCAAAUGUAAUAAUAUUGCAGGAAUUGUAUUAUUUCAAACCGUAUUACAGAUACACGAUUUAAAAUUUCAAUGGAAGAAAAUUAAAGCGUAACCAUCAAGGGAGGAACUGCGAGAAGGUGUAAUUAAACACAACUCCCGUUUCUAUAAUUUCUUUCCGAUAAUAAGCUAAAGAAAUUACAAGUGCAAUUGGCUGGGAUAAUAAACUUAUAUCGAUACUAAUGAAUGCUCAUUAGAUUUCACAAAUCAGAAGGGAAUUAUCAAUUUGUUCGAUAAUUUAUUCACAAGUGUAUCAACAUUCGCAAUUCGGUUGUAUGUAAAUAAAUCGAUCAAACUCUAUUAAACUA
Molecule: long non-coding RNA, 2274 nt
Organism: Bombus pyrosoma
Lineage: Eukaryota; Metazoa; Arthropoda; Insecta; Hymenoptera; Apidae
Exons: 2
Source: RefSeq, a predicted model, not a curated record